ACUAACAUUAUAUCAUAAACUAACUAAUACGAGCUGAUACUAAUGACUAUUAGUUUAUUCACUAACUAUUACAAAUAAGUGAAAUAAAAUUAAACAAUUCCAUCUUCUUUCAUUACAGAUCCAUCACCGUUUAGGUGGUCUAUUUUCCCCUCAGGGUGCUCAAAGAUAUCUGCCACAUUCAAGUGGGUGAUGUCAAAAUUGUCGUCAGAGACAAAAUUUGUUUCAGGGAUUUACUCUUUAGAGAUGCUUGACAAGGCUCAACCAAAUGUCUUGGUACACGGCAA
RNAcentral lists this long non-coding RNA (284 nucleotides) under Nicotiana benthamiana. RNAcentral's name for it is "long non-coding RNA (NBEN_LNC038305)". The record is from RNAcentral. Lineage: Eukaryota; Viridiplantae; Streptophyta; Magnoliopsida; Solanales; Solanaceae.